RNAcentral lists this ribosomal RNA (425 nucleotides) under uncultured bacterium. Its description in RNAcentral is "partial 16S ribosomal RNA". It matches the Rfam family "Bacterial small subunit ribosomal RNA", at positions 354 to 796 of the family's 1533-position model. The record is from RNAcentral.
GUGGGGAAUCUUGCGCAAUGGGCGAAAGCCUGACGCAGCCAUGCCGCGUGAAUGAUGAAGGUCUUAGGAUUGUAAAAUUCUUUCACCGGGGACGAUAAUGACGGUACCCGGAGAAGAAGCCCCGGCUAACUUCGUGUCAGCAGCCGCGGUAAUACGAAGGGGGCUAGCAUUGCUCGGAAUUACUGGGCGUAAAGGGAGCGUAGGCGGACAGUUUAGUCAGAGGUGAAAGCCCAGGGCUCAACCUUGGAAUUGCCUUUGAUACUGGCUGUCUUGAGUUUGGGAGAGGUGUGUGGAACUCCGAGUGUAGAGGUGAAAUUCGUAGAUAUUCGGAAGAACACCAGUGGCGAAGGCGACACACUGGCCCAAUACUGACGCUGAGGUACGAAAGCAUGGGGAGCAAACAGGAUUAGAAACCCGGGUAGUCC